CAAUACCGCUGACGACCGGCGCACGGGUGAGUAACACGUAUCCAACCUUCCCAUAACUCGGGGAUAGCCUUUCGAAAGAAAGAUUAAUACCCGAUAGUACUUUAUUAAGGCAUCUUAAGAAAGUUAAAGAUUUAUUGGUUAUGGAUGGGGAUGCGUUCCAUUAGAUAGUUGGUGAGGUAACGGCUCACCAAGUCUUCGAUGGAUAGGGGUUCUGAGAGGAAGGUCCCCCACAUUGGUACUGAGACACGGACCAAACUCCUACGGGAGGCAGCAGUGAGGAAUAUUGGUCAAUGGGCGAGAGCCUGAACCAGCCAAGUAGCGUGAAGGAUGACGG
RNAcentral lists this ribosomal RNA (334 nucleotides) under uncultured Bacteroidales bacterium. Its description in RNAcentral is "bacterial SSU rRNA". It matches the Rfam family "Bacterial small subunit ribosomal RNA", at positions 80 to 414 of the family's 1533-position model. Lineage: Bacteria; Pseudomonadati; Bacteroidota; Bacteroidia; Bacteroidales. The record is from RNAcentral.